UAGAAUGCCUAACUAUAUAGAGAUUAUGGGGUUGCUGCCCAUGUGGCAAAUGGCCAGAAUACAACUGAAUGAUAGUUACAGCUGAGUUGGAUGACAGCUGUCAGAGUACUUCUAAUAGCACGUCAGUAAGAAACUGAUGUAGAAUAAUUGAUAUCGAUAAAUAUCUGAAUUGGAUGUCAUACCUUGAGUAACAGAAAUCAGAUCGGCUAGAAAUCAAUGUAAGGUGAUGAAGAUCAAAAUCAGACCG
Molecule: long non-coding RNA, 247 nt
Filed under: Elaeis guineensis (African oil palm)
Lineage: Eukaryota; Viridiplantae; Streptophyta; Magnoliopsida; Arecales; Arecaceae
Description: long non-coding RNA (EGUI_LNC010452)
Source: RNAcentral